CCUACGGGAGGCAGCAGUGGGGAAUUUUGGACAAUGGGCGAAAGCCUGAUCCAGCAAUGCCGCGUGAGUGAAGAAGGCCUUCGGGUUGUAAAGCUCUUUUGUCAGGGAAGAAACGGCUCAAGCUAAUAUCUUGGGCUAAUGACGGUACCUGAAGAAUAAGCACCGGCUAACUACGUGCCAGCAGCCGCGGUAAUACGUAGGGUGCAAGCGUUAAUCGGAAUUACUGGGCGUAAAGCGUGCGCAGGCGGUUCUGUAAGUCUGUCGUGAAAUCCCCGGGCUUAACCUGGGAAUUGCGAUGGAGACUGCAAGGCUAGAAUCUGGCAGAGGGGGGUAGAAUUCCACGUGUAGCAGUGAAAUGCGUAGAGAUGUGGAGGAACACCGAUGGCGAAGGCAGCCCCCUGGGUCAAGAUUGACGCUCAUGCACGAAAGCGUGGGGAGCAAACAGGAUUAGAUACCCUGGUAGUCCACGCCCUAAACGAUGUCUACUAGUUGUCGGGUCUUAAUUGACUUGGUAACGCAGCUAACGUGUGAAGUAGACCGCCUGGGGAGUACGGUCGCAAGAUUAAAACUCAAAGGAAUUGACGG
This 585-nucleotide ribosomal RNA is filed under the name uncultured bacterium. Its description in RNAcentral is "bacterial SSU rRNA". It matches the Rfam family "Bacterial small subunit ribosomal RNA", at positions 338 to 916 of the family's 1533-position model. The record is from RNAcentral.